RNAcentral lists this ribosomal RNA (712 nucleotides) under uncultured bacterium. Its description in RNAcentral is "bacterial SSU rRNA". It matches the Rfam family "Bacterial small subunit ribosomal RNA", at positions 8 to 714 of the family's 1533-position model. The record is from RNAcentral.
AGAGUUUGAUCCUGGCUCAGAUUGAACGCUGGCGGCAUGCCUUACACAUGCAAGUCGAGCGGCAGCGCGGGGGCAACCCUGGCGGCGAGCGGCGGACGGGUGAGUAAUACAUCGGAACGUGUCCUUUCGUGGGGGAUAACCAGUCGAAAGACUGGCUAAUACCGCAUGAGAUCUCACGAUGAAAGCGGGGGACCGCAAGGCCUCGCGCGAUUGGAGCGGCCGAUGUCGGAUUAGCUAGUUGGCGGGGUAAAAGCCCACCAAGGCUACGAUCCGUAGCUGGUUUGAGAGAACGACCAGCCACACUGGGACUGAGACACGGCCCAGACUCCUACGGGAGGCAGCAGUGGGGAAUUUUGGACAAUGGGGGCAACCCUGNAUCCAGCCAUGCCGCGUGUGUGAAGAAGGCCUUCGGGUUGUAAAGCACUUUCGGCCGGAACGAAAUCGCGCGGGCUAUUACCCCGCGUGGAUGACGGUACCGGAAGAAGAAGCACCGGCUAACUACGUGCCAGCAGCCGCGGUAAUACGUAGGGUGCGAGCGUUAAUCGGAAUUACUGGGCGUAAAGGGUGCGCAGGCGGUUCUGCAAGUCAGGCGUGAAAUCCCCGGGCUUAACCUGGGAAUGGCGCUUGAAACUACGGGACUCGAGUAUGGCAGAGGGAGGUGGAAUUCCACGUGUAGCGGUGAAAUGCGUAGAGAUGUGGAGGAACACCGAUG